AGCAGGAUCCUGAGUAGGUCGGGACACGAGGAAUCCCGAUUGAAACCGCGAGGACCAUCUCGCAAGGCUAAAUACUCCCUAGUGACCGAUAGUGAACCAGUACCGUGAGGGAAAGGUGAAAAGCACCCCGGAAGGGGAGUGAAAUAGUUCCUGAAACCAUGUGCCUACAAGCUGUCGGAGCCCGUUAAUGGGUGACGGCGUGCCUCUUGCAGAAUGAACCGGCGAGUUACGAUUGCAUGCAAGGUUAAGGUGGAAAAACCGGAGCCGUAGCGAAAGCGAGUCUUAAAUGGGCGUAAAAAGUAUGUAGUUGUAGACCCGAAACCAGGUGACCUACCCAUGUCCAGGUUGAAGGUGCGGUAAAGCGCACUGGAGGACCGAACCCGUGUCAGUUGAAAAUGGCUGGGAUGAGGUGUGGGUAGCGGUGAAAUUCCAAACGAACUUGGAGAUAGCUGGUUCUCUCCGAAAUCUCUUUAGGGGGAGCCUUGAGGUAAAGAAUCGUGGAGGUAGAGCUACUGUUUGGACAAGGGGCCCGUCAUGGGUUACCAACUUCAGAUAAACUCCGAAUGCCAUUGAUUUAUACUCAGGAGUCAGACGAUGAGUGAUAAGAUCCACCGUCGAAAGGGGAACAGCCCAGAUCACCAGUUAAGGUCCCUAAAUAUAUGCUAAGUGGAAAAGGAUGUGGAGUUGCAUAGACAACUAGGAUGUUGGCUUAGAAGCAGCCACUCAUUUAAAGAGUGCGUAAUAGCUCACUAGUCGAGUGACUCUGCGCCGAAGAUAAACGGGGCUAAAAUCUACUACCGAAGCUUAGGAAUUACAUUUAGUAAUUGGUAGAGGAGCAUCGUAUACGGGCAGAAGCUGUGCUGUAAGGCAUGGUGGACUGUAUACGAGAGAGAAUGUUGGCAUGAGUAGCGAGAGGCAGGUGAGAAUCCUGCCCGCCGAAAAUCUGAGGAUUCCUGAGGAAGGUUCGUCCGCUCAGGGUAAGUCGGGACCUAAGCCGAGAACGAAAGUUGUAGGCGAUGGACAACAGGUUGAGAUUCCUGUACCACCGAGGAUCAUUUGAAUGAAGUGGGGACGCAGGAGGAUAGGCUGAGCGCGCCGUUGGUGGAGCGCGUCCAAGCACGGAGGGAGUUGACCAGGCAAAUCCGGUCAGCGAGUUCCUGACGUGUGAUGGGGAGGGAAAACAAGUACCGAAGCAGCUGAUUUCACACUGCCAAGAAAAGCCGCUGGUGAGAUCCAAGGUGCCCGUACCGCAAACCGACACAGGUAGAUGAGGAGAGAAUCCUAAGGCGAGCGAGAGAACUAUUGUUAAGGAACUCGGCAAAAUGACCCCGUAACUUAGGGAGAAGGGGUGCUGCAGAAAUGCAGCCGCAGUGAAGAGGCCCAGGCGACUGUUUACCAAAAACACAGGUCUCUGCGAAAGCGAAAGCUGAAGUAUAGGGGCUGACGCCUGCCCGGUGCUGGAAGGUUAAGGGGAUGUGUAAGGGCAACCGAAGCACUGAACUUAAGCCCCAGUAAACGGCGGCCGUAACUAUAACGGUCCUAAGGUAGCGAAAUUCCUUGUCGGGUAAGUUCC
RNAcentral lists this ribosomal RNA (1573 nucleotides) under human gut metagenome. RNAcentral describes it as "bacterial LSU rRNA". It matches the Rfam family "Bacterial large subunit ribosomal RNA", at positions 399 to 1984 of the family's 2925-position model. The record is from RNAcentral.